CCUUGCAUAAACACACAAUUCAAAUCUUUUUUAAAACAAAAUGUCAUAGAAAAGGCAUUAAGGAUUUUCAAGGCAAGACUCUUUGGAGGAUAGCAUGUCUCUCCUUGUUGUGGAUUGUGUGGAGAGAGAGGAACGCUAGGAUUUUCGAGGAUACUUGGAGGACGCCAAAGUUGAUGUGGGAUUUCGCUUCAGUUCUAUGUUUCUUUUUGGACUUAUCGUAUAGACAUUUUUAAACCAUAUCCUUUAAGUGUAAUUCAAGUUAGUUGGUUGUUGAUUUGUACACCCUAGGGUUGGGUCUACAGGGUCUAGGUUUGUUAUAUGUGUAUAGGUCAUUUGUCCUUUUUGUAUAACCCUCCUUGUUUAGUGGAGGUUUACUCAAUUUUUGGUCAAGUUUGUACAUCCAUCUCAUGUUUGUCUCUUUUAAUACAAUUGUUCAUUUGGGUCUACAGGGUCUGGGUUAGUUAUAUGUGUAUAGGUCAUUUGUCCUUUUUGUAUAACCCUCCUUGUUUAGUGGAGGUUUACUCAAUUUUUGGUCAGGUUUGUACAUCCAUCUCAUGUUUGUCUCUUUUAAUACAAUUGUUC
RNAcentral lists this long non-coding RNA (582 nucleotides) under Vitis vinifera (wine grape). RNAcentral describes it as "long non-coding RNA (VVIN_LNC006060)". Lineage: Eukaryota; Viridiplantae; Streptophyta; Magnoliopsida; Vitales; Vitaceae. The record is from RNAcentral.